Molecule: ribosomal RNA, 492 nt
Filed under: uncultured bacterium
Lineage: Bacteria
Description: partial 16S ribosomal RNA
Rfam family: Bacterial small subunit ribosomal RNA
Source: RNAcentral
AGUGAACGCUGGCGGUAGGCCUAACACAUGCAAGUCGAACGGCAGCACAGUAAGAGCUUGCUCUUACGGGUGGCGAGUGGCGGACGGGUGAGGAAUACAUCGGAAUCUACUUUUUCGUGGGGGAUAACGUAGGGAAACUUACGCUAAUACCGCAUACGACCUACGGGUGAAAGCAGGGGAUCUUCGGACCUUGCGCGAUUGAAUGAGCCGAUGUCGGAUUAGCUAGUUGGCGGGGUAAAGGCCCACCAAGGCGACGAUCCGUAGCUGGUCUGAGAGGAUGAUCAGCAACACUGGAACUGAGACACGGUCCAGACUCCUACGGGAGGCAGCAGUGGGGAAUAUUGGACAAUGGGCGCAAACCUGAUCCAGCCAUACCGCGUGGGUGAAGAAGGCCUUCGGGUUGUAAAGCCCUUUUGUUGGGAAAGAAAAGCAGCAGGUUAAUACCCCGCUGUUCUGACGGUACCCAAAGAAUAAGCACCGGCUAACUUCGUG